AACGAACGCUGGCGGCAUGCCUAACGCAUGCAAGUCGAACGAGACCUUCGGGUCUAGUGGCGCACGGGUGCGUAACGCGUGGGAACCUGCCCUUAGGUUCGGAAUAACUCCCCGAAAGGGGUGCUAAUACCGGAUAAUGUCUUCGGACCAAAGAUUUAUCGCCUUUGGAUGGGCCCGCGUUGGAUUAGCUAGUUGGUAGGGUAAAAGCCUACCAAGGCGACGAUCCAUAGCUGGUCUGAGAGGAUGAUCAGCCACACUGGGACUGAGACACGGCCCAGACUCCUACGGGAGGCAGCAGUGGGGAAUAUUGGACAAUGGGCGAAAGCCUGAUCCAGCAAUGCCGCGUGAGUGAUGAAGGCCUUAGGGUUGUAAAGCUCUUUUAACCGGGAUGAUAAUGACAGUACCGGGAGAAUAAGCUCCGGCUAACUCCGUG
RNAcentral lists this ribosomal RNA (433 nucleotides) under uncultured bacterium. Its description in RNAcentral is "partial 16S ribosomal RNA". It matches the Rfam family "Bacterial small subunit ribosomal RNA", at positions 29 to 507 of the family's 1533-position model. The record is from RNAcentral.